RNAcentral lists this ribosomal RNA (468 nucleotides) under uncultured bacterium. RNAcentral's name for it is "partial 16S ribosomal RNA". It matches the Rfam family "Bacterial small subunit ribosomal RNA", at positions 28 to 507 of the family's 1533-position model. The record is from RNAcentral.
GACGAACGCUGGCGGCGUGCUUAACACAUGCAAGUCGAACGGAAAGGCCCUGCUUUUGUGGGGUGCUCGAGUGGCGAACGGGUGAGUAACACGUGAGUAACCUGCCCUUGACUUUGGGAUAACUUCAGGAAACUGGGGCUAAUACCGGAUAGGAGCUCCUGCUGCAUGGUGGGGGUUGGAAAGUUUCGGCGGUUGGGGAUAGACUCGCGGCUUAUCAGCUUGUUGGUGGGGUAGUGGCUUACCAAGGCUUUGACGGGUAGCCGGCCUGAGAGGGUGACCGGCCACAUUGGGACUGAGAUACGGCCCAGACUCCUACGGGAGGCAGCAGUGGGGAAUAUUGCACAAUGGGCGGAAGCCUGAUGCAGCAACGCCGCGUGCGAGAUGACGGCCUUCGGGUUGUAAACCGCUUUCGCCUGUGACGAAGCGUGAGUGACGGUAAUGGGUAAAGAAGCACCGGCUAACUACGUG